RNAcentral lists this ribosomal RNA (505 nucleotides) under uncultured bacterium. Its description in RNAcentral is "bacterial SSU rRNA". It matches the Rfam family "Bacterial small subunit ribosomal RNA", at positions 16 to 518 of the family's 1533-position model. The record is from RNAcentral.
AUUAUGGCUCAGGAUGAACGCUGGCGGCGUGCUUAAUACAUGCAAGUCGAACGAAGCGCCUGCGACGGAUCCCUCGGGGUGAAGAUGCUUGUGACUGAGUGGCGGACGGGUGAGUAACGCGUGGGUAACCUGCCUUAUGCAGGGGGACAACAGUUAGAAAUGACUGCUAAUACCGCAUAAGCGCACGAGACCGCAUGGUCAAGUGUGAAAAGAUUUAUCGGCAUAAGAUGGACCCGCGUCUGAUUAGGUAGUUGGUGAGGUAACGGCCCACCAAGCCGACGACCAGUAGCGGACUUGAGAGAGUGAUCGGCCACAUUGGGACUGAGACACGGCCCAGACUCCUACGGGAGGCAGCAGUAGGGAAUAUUGCACAAUGGGGGAAACCCUGAUGCAAGCGACGCCGCGUGAGUGAUUGAAGUAUUUCGGUACGUAAAGCCCUAUCAGCAGGGAAGAUAAUGACGGUACCUGACUAAGAAGCCCCGGCUAACUACGUGCCAGCAGCCGC